Molecule: ribosomal RNA, 468 nt
Filed under: uncultured bacterium
Lineage: Bacteria
Description: partial 16S ribosomal RNA
Rfam family: Bacterial small subunit ribosomal RNA
Source: RNAcentral
GACGAACGCUGGCGGCGUGCUUAACACAUGCAAGUCGAACGGAAAGGCCCUGCUUUUGUGGGGUGCUCGAGUGGCGAACGGGUGAGUAACACGUGAGUAACCUGCCCUUGACUUUGGGAUAACUUCAUGAAACUGGGGCUAAUACCGGAUAGGAGCUCCUGCGGCAUGGUGGGGGUUGGAAAGUUUCGGCGGUUGGGGAUGGACUCGCGGCUUAUCAGCUUGUUGGUGGGGUAGUGGCUUACCAAGGCUUUGACGGGUAGCCGGCCUGAGAGGGUGACCGGCCACAUUGGGACUGAGAUACGGCCCAGACUCCUACGGGAGGCAGCAGUGGGGAAUAUUGCACAAUGGGCGGAAGCCUGAUGCAGCAACGCCGCGUGCGGGAUGACGGCCUUCGGGUUGUAAACCGCUUUCGCCUGUGACGAAGCGUGAGUGACGGUAAUGGGUAAAGAAGCACCGGCUAACUACGUG